This 379-nucleotide ribosomal RNA is filed under the name uncultured organism. Its description in RNAcentral is "bacterial SSU rRNA". It matches the Rfam family "Bacterial small subunit ribosomal RNA", at positions 525 to 898 of the family's 1533-position model. The record is from RNAcentral.
CGGGGGGGAGCAAGCGUUGUUCGGAUUUACUGGGCGUAAAGGGCGCGUAGGCGGCACCGCAAGUCGACUGUGAAAUCUCCGGGCUUAACUCGGAAAGGUCAGCCGAUACUGCGGGGCUAGAGUGCAGAAGGGGCAACUGGAAUUCUCGGUGUAGCGGUGAAAUGCGUAGAUAUCGAGAGGAACACCUGCGGCGAAGGCGGGUUGCUGGGCUGACACUGACGCUGAUGCGCGAAAGCUAGGGGAGCGAACGGGAUUAGACUACCCCGGUAGUCCUAGCCUUAAACGAUGAAUGCUUGGUGUCGUGGGGUUUUAUAGUCCCCGGGUGCCGUCGCUAACGCUUUAAGCAUUCCGCCGUGGGGAGUACGGUCGCAAGACUAGA